AUUGAACGCUGGCGGCAGGCCUAACACAUGCAAGUCGAACGAGUGGCGGACGGGUGAGUAAUGUCUGGGAAACUGCCCGAUGGAGGGGGAUAACUACUGGAAACGGUAGCUAAUACCGCAUACCAUCGGAUGUGCCCAGAUGGGAUUAGCUUGUAGGUGGGGUAACGGCUCACCUAGGCGACGAUCCCUAGCUGGUCUGAGAGGAUGACCAGCCACACUGGAACUGAGACAAUGUACAGACUCAUACGGGAGGCAGCAGUGGGGGAUAUUGCACAAGGGGCGCAAGCCUGAUGCAGCCAGGGCGCGGGUAUGAAGAAGGCCUUCGGGUUGGAAAGUAAUUUCAGCGGAGAGGCGUUACCCGCAGAAGAAGCACCGGCUAACUCCGUGCCAGCAGCCGCGGUAAUAC
RNAcentral lists this ribosomal RNA (406 nucleotides) under uncultured bacterium. RNAcentral's name for it is "partial 16S ribosomal RNA". It matches the Rfam family "Bacterial small subunit ribosomal RNA", at positions 29 to 526 of the family's 1533-position model. The record is from RNAcentral.